RNAcentral lists this ribosomal RNA (497 nucleotides) under uncultured bacterium. Its description in RNAcentral is "partial 16S ribosomal RNA". It matches the Rfam family "Bacterial small subunit ribosomal RNA", at positions 28 to 507 of the family's 1533-position model. The record is from RNAcentral.
GAUGAACGCUGGCGGCGUGCCUAAUACAUGCAAGUCGAGCGAACAGACGAGGAGCUUGCUCCUCUGACGUUAGCGGCGGACGGGUGAGUAACACGUGGAUAACCUACCUAUAAGACUGGGAUAACUUCGGGAAACCGGAGCUAAUACCGGAUAAUAUAUUGAACCGCAUGGUUCAAUAGUGAAAGACGGCUUUGCUGUCACUUAUAGAUGGAUCCGCGCCGCAUUAGCUAGUUGGUAAGGUAACGGCUUACCAAGGCAACGAUGCGUAGCCGACCUGAGAGGGUGAUCGGCCACACUGGAACUGAGACACGGUCCAGACUCCUACGGGAGGCAGCAGUAGGGAAUCUUCCGCAAUGGGCGAAAGCUUGACGGAGCAACGCCGCGUGAGUGAUGAAGGUCUUCGGAUCGUAAAACUCUGUUAUUAGGGAAGAACAAAUGUGUAAGUAACUAUGCACGUCUUGACGGUACCUAAUCAGAAAGCCACGGCUAACUACGUG